This 490-nucleotide ribosomal RNA is filed under the name uncultured bacterium. Its description in RNAcentral is "partial 16S ribosomal RNA". It matches the Rfam family "Bacterial small subunit ribosomal RNA", at positions 30 to 507 of the family's 1533-position model. The record is from RNAcentral.
AUUGAACGCUGGCGGCAGGCCUAACACAUGCAAGUCGAAUGGUAACAGGAAACAGCUUGCUGUUUCGCUGACGAGUGGCGGACGGGUGAGUAAUGUCUGGGAAACUGCCUGAUGGAGGGGGAUAACUACUGGAAACGGUAGCUAAUACCGCAUAACGUUGCAAGACCAAAGAGGGGGACCUUCGUGCCUCUUGCCAUCAGAUGUGCCCAGGUGGGAUUAGCUGGUAGGUGGGGUAACGGCUCACCUAGGCGACGAUCCCUAGCUGGUCUGAGAGGAUGACCAGCCACACUGGAACUGAGAAACGGUCCAGACUCCUACGGGAGGAAGCAGUGGGGAAUAUUGCACAAUGGGGGCAAGCCUGAUGCAGCCAUGCCGCGUGUAUGAAGAAGGCCUUCGGGUUGUAGAGUACUUUCAGCGGGGAGGAAGGGAGUAAAGUUAAUACCUGUGCUCAUUGACGUUACCCGCAGAAGAAGCACCGGCUAACUCCGUG